UACGGAGGAUGCAAGCGUUAUCCGGAUUCAUUGGGUUUAAAGGGUGCGUAGGCGGGCUAUUAAGUCAGUGGUGAAAUCCUGCAGCUUAACUGCAGAACUGCCGUUGAUACUGAUAGUCUUGAGUUUGGUUAAGGUAGGCGGAAUGUGUAAUGUAGCGGUGAAAUGCUUAGAUAUUACACAGAACACCAAUUGCGAAGGCAGCUUUCUGGCCCAUUACUGACGCUGAGGCACGAAAGCGUGGGGAUCGAACAGGAUUA
Molecule: ribosomal RNA, 257 nt
Filed under: uncultured prokaryote
Description: partial 16S ribosomal RNA
Rfam family: Bacterial small subunit ribosomal RNA
Source: RNAcentral